This 501-nucleotide ribosomal RNA is filed under the name uncultured bacterium. RNAcentral's name for it is "partial 16S ribosomal RNA". It matches the Rfam family "Bacterial small subunit ribosomal RNA", at positions 29 to 523 of the family's 1533-position model. The record is from RNAcentral.
AUUGAACGCUGGCGGCAUGCCUUACACAUGCAAGUCGAACGGCAGCACGGGUGCUUGCACCUGGUGGCGAGUGGCGAACAGGUGAGUAAUACAUCGGAACGUACCUUAUCGUGGGGGAUAACGCAGCGAAAGCUGUGCUAAUACCGCAUACGCCCUGAGGGGGAAAGCGGGGGAUCGCAAGACCUCGCGCGACUAGAGCGGCCGAUGCCUGAUUAGCUUGUUGGUGGGGUAAAAGCCCACCAAGGCGACGAUCAGUAGCUGGUCUGAGAGGACGAUCAGCCACACUGGGACUGAGACACGGCCCAGACUCCUACGGGAGGCAGCAGUGGGGAAUUUUGGACAAUGGGGGCAACCCUGAUCCAGCAAUGCCGCGUGAGUGAAGAAGGCCUUCGGGUUGUAAAGCUCUUUUGUCAGGGAAGAAACACCGGCUCUAACACAGUCCGGGAAUGACGGUACCUGAAGAAUAAGCACCGGCUAACUACGUGCCAGCCGCCGCAGUAA